This 471-nucleotide ribosomal RNA is filed under the name uncultured bacterium. Its description in RNAcentral is "partial 16S ribosomal RNA". It matches the Rfam family "Bacterial small subunit ribosomal RNA", at positions 30 to 507 of the family's 1533-position model. The record is from RNAcentral.
UUGAACGCUGGCGGCAGGCCUAACCCCUGCAAGUCGAGCGGGGACUUCGGUCCUAGCGGCGACCGGGUGAGUAAUGCUUGGGAAUCUGCCCCGUAGUGGUGGAUAACGUCCCGGAAGGGACGCUAAUACCGCAUACGUCCUACGGGAGAAAGAGGGGGAUCUUCGGCCCUCUCGCUAUUUGAUGAGCCCAAGUCGGAUUAGCUAGUUGGUAGGGUAAUGGCCUACCAAGGCGACGAUCCGUAGCUGGUCUGAGAGGAUGAUCAGCCACACUGGAACUGAGACACGGUCCAGACUCCUACGGGAGGCAGCAGUGGGGAAUAUUGGACAAUGGGCGAAAGCCUGAUCCAGCCAUGCCGCGUGUGUGAAGAAGGCCUUCGGGUUGUAAAGCACUUUAAGCGGGGAGGAAGGUUCGCGGCCUAAUACGUCGCGGAAUUGACGUUACCCGCAGAAUAAGCACCGGCUAACUCUGUG